RNAcentral lists this ribosomal RNA (258 nucleotides) under uncultured bacterium. RNAcentral's name for it is "partial 16S ribosomal RNA". It matches the Rfam family "Bacterial small subunit ribosomal RNA", at positions 524 to 776 of the family's 1533-position model. The record is from RNAcentral.
UACGUAGGGUGCAAGCGUUGUCCGGAAUUAUUGGGCGUAAAGAGCUCGUAGGCGGUUUGUUGCGUCGGCUGUGAAAAUCCCGAGGCUCAACCUCGGGUCUGCAGUCGAUACGAGCAAACUAGAGUGUUGCAGGGGGAGACUGGAAUUCCUGGUGUAGCGGUGAAAUGCGCAGAUAUCAGGAGGAACACCGGUGGCGAAGGCGGGGUCUCUGGGGCAACAACUGACGCUGAGGAGCGAAAGCGUGGGGGAGCGAACAGG